Molecule: ribosomal RNA, 431 nt
Filed under: uncultured bacterium
Lineage: Bacteria
Description: partial 16S ribosomal RNA
Rfam family: Bacterial small subunit ribosomal RNA
Source: RNAcentral
AACGAACGCUGGCGGCAGGCCUAACACAUGCAAGUCGAGCGCCCUUUCGGGGGAGCGGCGGACGGGUGAGUAACGCGUGGGAAUAUGCCCUUCUCUACGGAAUAGCCUCGGGAAACUGAGAGUAAUACCGUAUACGCCCUGUGGGGGAAAGAUUUAUCGGGGAAGGAUUAGCCCGCGUUGGAUUAGGUAGUUGGUGGGGUAAUGGCCUACCAAGCCGACGAUUCAUAGCUGGUUUGAGAGGAUGAUCCGCCACACUGGGACUGAGACACGGCCCAGACUCCUACGGGAGGCAGCAGUGGGGAAUCUUAGACAAUGGGGGCAACCCUGAUCUAGCCAUGCCGCGUGAGUGAUGAAGGCCUUAGGGUUGUAAAGCUCUUUCAGCUGGGAAGAUAAUGACGGUACCAGCAGAAGAAGCCCCGGCUAACUCCGUG